AUUGAACGCUGGCGGCAUGCUUUACACAUGCAAGUCGAGCGGCAGCGCGGGGGCAACCCUGGCGGCGAGCGGCGAACGGGUGAGUAAUGCAUCGGAACGUACCCUGGAGUGGGGGAUAACGCCGCGAAAGCGGCGCUAAUACCGCAUAUGCUCUGAGGAGGAAAGUGGGGGACCGCAAGGCCUCACGCUCUGGGAGCGGCCGAUGUCCGAUUAGCUAGUUGGUGGGGUAAAGCUUACCAAGGCGACGAUCGGUAGCUGGUCUGAGAGGAUGAUCAGCCACACUGGGACUGAGACACGGCCCAGACUCCUACGGGAGGCAGCAGUGGGGAAUUUUGGACAAUGGGGGCAACCCUGAUCCAGCCAUGCCGCGUGAGUGAAGAAGGCCUCGGGUUGU
Molecule: ribosomal RNA, 394 nt
Filed under: uncultured bacterium
Lineage: Bacteria
Description: bacterial SSU rRNA
Rfam family: Bacterial small subunit ribosomal RNA
Source: RNAcentral